Molecule: unclassified non-coding RNA, 250 nt
Filed under: uncultured fungus
Lineage: Eukaryota; Fungi
Description: sequence contains ITS2
Rfam family: 5.8S ribosomal RNA (bases 1-52)
Source: RNAcentral
AACGCACAUUGCGCCCUCUGGUAUUCCGGAGGGCAUGCCUGUUCGAGCGUCAUUUCAACCCUCAAGCAUUGCUUGGUGUUGGGGCACCGCCUGUAAAAGGGCGGGCCCUGAAAUCUAGUGGCGAGCUCGCCAGGACCCCGAGCGUAGUAAUUAUAUUUCGUUCUGGAAGGCCCUGGCGGUGCCCUGCCGUUAAACCCCCAACUUCUGAAAAUUUGACCUCGGAUCAGGUAGGAAUACCCGCUGAACUUAA